Triticum aestivum (bread wheat) is the source of this 115-nucleotide non-coding RNA. The record is from Rfam. NCBI's taxonomy places the organism in Eukaryota, Viridiplantae, Streptophyta, Magnoliopsida, Poales, Poaceae.
CAAGUACUCCCUCCGUCCGGAAUUACUUGUCAUCAAAAUGUAUGUGUCUAGAACUAAAAUACAUCUAGAUACAUCCAUUUCAAUGACAAGUAUUUUUGGACGGAGGGAGUACAAG